This 252-nucleotide ribosomal RNA is filed under the name uncultured prokaryote. RNAcentral's name for it is "partial 16S ribosomal RNA". It matches the Rfam family "Bacterial small subunit ribosomal RNA", at positions 524 to 775 of the family's 1533-position model. The record is from RNAcentral.
UACGGAGGUGGCUAGCGUUGUUCGGAAUUACUGGGCGUAAAGGGCGCGUAGGCGGCUUUGCAAGUCGGAUGUGAAAGCCCCGGGCUCAACUCGGGAAUUGCAUCCGAAACUGCUUUGCUUGAGUCCUGGAGGGGGUAGUGGAAUUCCCAGUGUAGCGGUGAAAUGCGUAGAUAUUGGGAGGAACACCGGUGGCGAAGGCGGCUACCUGGACAGUGACUGACGCUGAGGCGCGAAAGCUAGGGGAGCGAACGG